UAUGAAACGUUGAACUUCCGGUCCGUCAUUUUGGCACUACGUGUUGUUCUUGUUCUCGAUUGGAUACCCUUGCGCUCGUUUACAAAAACCGUAUUUAACGACGCUUUUUCGGUAUUUUCCGACUUCAUCCGCAUACCACCAACAAAUAUUUAAUUUAACAAACAUGGACCAAAUGGAAGACCCCGCUGGAUCGGAUAAUAAACGAGCUAUAGAGCGGAAAAGGAGUUGAAGAUGCCAAAAGAGGACUUCAGAGAGGACAAGCUUUCAACAUCAGCACCGUCCAUCACUUUGUCCCUCCCCUCAUCCCCUAAACACCCGGCACAGGCACUGGUUUAGCCAGAGUCCUCACAACAAUACUCUGUUUAAGUCCAG
Long non-coding RNA from Labeo rohita (rohu), 372 nucleotides. RefSeq lists it as uncharacterized. NCBI's taxonomy places the organism in Eukaryota, Metazoa, Chordata, Actinopteri, Cypriniformes, Cyprinidae. The record is from RefSeq and is a predicted model, not a curated record. The transcript is spliced from 3 exons.